UUCAGUUAAGUUCUUUCAAUAUUUACAGUACCCAAAACAAUUGAAAAUUGAAUCUCAAAAAUCACAUCAAAGUCUCCUACAAGGCCCAGGCAUUUCACACUUAGUCACAGAUAGGAUGUAGAAAAUACAAAGAAUUAUUAUUAUCCAAAUCUUAAUUUCUUUCGAGUUGUGUCAAUAGAUCAAUUUCGUCUCCAAAAAUAUCAUUAUGUACUUGCACCUCACAUAAAUUCCUAAGAGCAUAUCAAUCACUAAUCACUAAUAACUUUGAGCCAUUUUAACAACAAUUAAGACAUGCAAAUAUUACCAAGCACAUCUAUUUAUUUCAACCAAAGCUAAAACAGAUAUAGGACAUAUUAAUGUGACUGAGUCCCUCACAUGACAUUGCAAUUGUUUAGGAUAGAAAUCGACUAAGCAUACAUGAUGAAUCAAGAAUCUACGACACCCAGCUACGUAAAGAAACUGCAAAUAAGACUAUUCCAACUUUGUUUCCAUUUCAUCCUUCAAAUUUGACUUGACAUUGGGAGAGAUCAGGAAAGGUGUACCUGGGAAUGAACAGACAAAGGGAAAAGUGAGAAAUUGACAGUAUUAAGUGCAGAAAUCAGCACCAUCAACAGAACAACCCAGAUUCAACCAAAACUAGCAAGUCAAUCCAGAAGAAAGAAACCAAUCAAGUAAUUUAAACAAGAUAUUUAACUACCUAAGCUUAAAUUAUUUUUAACAUCAAAUAGAAUCAGAUGUUGUUCAUAAAUGAAAAACUUCAAAGUUCAAAGCAAAAAUUUCAAUGGAACAGUAUUUUCUCCAAAUUUUCAGUCGUUUGUCAUUUUUAGAAUUUUCUAUCUCUUCUUCUAUGCCUUGAAUGCCAUGUUAGAGUGCCUUUAUAGGCAAGGCACUAGGGAAACUUAAUGAGAAACAAAUCUUCACUUAGACCUCUUUUAAAAUUUGAUUUAAAUUUAGAAAACCUUAGGCAAUUUUCAAAAAUUCAAAAUAGUCCAAAAGUUAUCUUCCAAGAAGCUUCCCUUUCAGUUAUUCCCUAGAUUUCCUAAACCAAUUACCUAUAUUACCCUUUUAAAACCCAUGUUAAUUACCCCUGGACCAUGCAAGCAUAUGGGUCAGGCUGGCCCAAAGAACUAAGGCAGCCAUGUACUUGAUUGGAACACCGGAUUCUUGCUCAUUUGGGCUUUCUAUUUCUCAAAGCAGAUUCAAGCUGUAAUCUACAAUCAAAACUCUUAACAUGCUAAUGCACGAAAUCGCAGAAGAAGACCAUCAGUUCUUAAAAAUUAGACCUAAACUAAAAUCAACAUGCAAUGUACUAACUAAUCUUAAUGGGAGGAUAAAGCGAACAAACGAAACUUUUAAACAAACUAAAUCGUGCAAACGGAGUACAUGAGAACCAACAUGCAAGAUUGACGGAAAAGAAACAAAAAAUCAUAAAAGAAAUAACAUCCAGAAAAAGAGAAAGAAUAAGCAAACAAUGAAGCAGGAAUAGAAAUAAAUAUCAACAGACAAAAUAAAUGAUAAAAAAUGAAUCAAAUAUCUAGAACUGCUUUUGGUCCAACAAACAAAGAAAAGAGACUAAAAAUCUUCGAAUUUUUCGCCGCCCUUGAUUUUAAUCAUGUGUUCUUAACAAGACACACGAAUAACAUCAAGGUUAGCCCAAAUCUUCAAAAACCCAGUUCCAGGGCUUUGGGGAUUUUAGGGUCCACCCCUUCGAUCUGAAAUUUUAGGAGUUCCGGAGUGAUUCAAAGGAAAGUAUUGGUGGAUUUGGUAUGGAUGGGUCAUACGGAUUUCAGGGUGUGAGUUUCGUGGGGUUAGAAGGUGGUGCCGCCACCGGAGAAAGCUUAGUGGCGCUAGGGUUCCGCCCUUUGAUUCUAGAAUCUCGGCGGUUUCAAGGGGAUUCGAGGUAGAUAGGGUGGGGAUUUGGGAUAGGAGAUGAAAAGGGAUGUCUGGUGCGAUUUUUGGAUUGAUUGGCCACCGGCCUCCUCUGUACGCGAUUUCGGGCGGACGGUAGACCGCGGAUGGUGAUGUAUGGCAGAUUCUCUAAAGGGGACAGUGAGGGGCUGGGGGGGUAAGUAUUUUAAGACAUAUAUAUACUCAAUUCACGAUCAAUGUUGAGCCGUUGGAUGAUUGAAAUCCAAUGGCUGUGAUUGGCCCUAAUGGAACUAAGUCGUUUUAUUUAUUAAAGGGAACAAACCGGGUUCUUGGUGGGCUUAAGGCUCGACCAGGCAUGUUUGGAGGGAAAAGGAUACUGGGCCUCGGAUAAAAUAAAUUAAUUUUUCCCAAACAAUCCAUCUCUUCAUUCUGUACUCUUCUCCUUCCAUUUUCUAAAUUCAUUUUGUUUUUCUUCUUUUUUUUCAAAAUUAAAAUAAUUUCUAUAUUGAUCCUUGGGACCUAAUUAACUUAAACAAAACACUAAUUAAACCUAAAUGAUAAUUAACACAAUAAAUUAAAAAUUAAUUAAAAGAAGAAUUACACAAAAUAAAAGUUAAAAUUAAAAACGCAAAUUAGACCAUUUUUGUGAUUUUCCUUUUUUUUUUAAUAAAAAAUAACUUAAUUACUAAUCAAUUUUUAAAAUGCAAAGUCAAAUCCUAUAUGCACAUGCAACACAUUUUGUAUUUUUUUUAUUAAUUAAUAACAUAGAUGUGCACCGACAAAAUGCAAAUAAUUAACAGAAAAAUGCCACAAAAAUCCACAAAACUACGACUAAUAAAAGAAACUUAUUUUGUUUUAUAUUUGUGGGAGUGACUCAUAUAGGGGGAUAAUCAUGUGCUCAAAGCGAUAAGACUAGUCAAUCAGUAGUGGAGUUGACGGUUCUGUGCCUUUUCCUCUCAAGUUAUCCGCAUGAGGGUACCAGUCUAGACUCUUCUAGAAAGCCCCACUCUAAUAUUAACUGUGCAUGCAUCAUGACUAAACCUAAGAUGUGUUAGAAUGUUGUUCGUGUAAUAACUCGCUAAGUCAAUCCUUGUCCAAAGUUCGACAGGACUUCCAUAUUCCCAAUGGACACAAUCACGAUCUAUGCAUUAUUUGGAGAAAACAUGUCAAUGUGUUGAUCAUUAAUGUGUAAAUAGCCAAAUCCGGAGGGGAAAGGGCUAACUCUAUUUGUUUUGCAGAAAUGAGGCAGGAUGUCCCAAGUUUAGCAUGGUUCAAAAUAUCCCACCUUUUUUGCUAGGUUGGUGGGAAAAUCUCACACCAAGUGAAAGAAACCAUAUGAAGAGAGUCCUCGGGAAUUUACCAUCUAUGUUAGACAUUCAACCAAACAAUACAAUAAUUGAGGCCGCUACCAUGUUCUAGGAUGAGAAUAGAGCCGUUUUCCAUUUUGGCAACAUAGAAAUGACUCCCCUUUCAAAGAAAUAUGAGGUUUCAUUGGGCUCCCAUGGGAUGGCCUUGGUUUGUUAUUCCAGAAAGCAACACUUCUUGAGGUUUCUUGAAAACGAUGGGUAUCAGGAAAAAUGAUGAUUUAGUCUGUCUGCAGAAGUCUUACAUACCUUCAAUAUCCUCUACGAGCGUUAUGGGCACUGAAAGUGAUACCGCUUUUACCAUGAUGUGUUUCCCACCACUUCUUUGGGUUGGACUCAUCGUCGAGUUUUUGUAUUCUUUAUGUCUUUUCUAGGGAUGCUGGUAUUUCCAAUACAAGGAGAAAAGAUCCACACUCGCCUAGCUAUGGUCACUAAGGCUUUAAUAGAGGGGAUUGUGGGGCAAAUUUAUGCUAUUGUCCCUAUUAUUCUAACUGAUAUGUAUCGGUCUUUAGACCAUUGCAAAAAUGGGUUGAGGCAUUCGAAGAGUUGCAAUUUCUUGCUGCAAGUAUGGUUGUUGGAAUACCUUCAGAGAGGAAAAUACUGUCAUGAACUUCCAUGACGACCAUGGAAUGACCACAUAGCCUAUCACCAUCUCAGAGAAUGACCGCAAAGAAAACUUCCAAGGGAACACCAUUCCAUUAAUGUUUGAGGCACAACACAUGUGGCAAAAGAUCAUUCUAGAGAAAGAUACCAUUGAGCUAAAUAAGUAUCAUGCCAGCCAUGCGAACAUCUAUCCAUCAUUGUUGGUAGAUGAUAUAGUAGGGGUGUCAAGCUAUGUAUUAAUCUAAAGAAUAGGGUUGUAGACGGCGUUGUAGAAGCACUAGUCAAAUGCGUGAUGUUGCAUAAAAAGGGUCUAGAUUCUUAAGCGAGGCAUUUCGAACUACACAAAGUUAACAUGGAAGCAAUCAACGAAUGGAGAGAUAUCACUACUAAGUCAAUAGAAAGUCUGGAAUAUUUGGAGCAGGGGUUGAUGGAGCUUGAAGGGAAAAUGAGAAAGAGGGUUGCAGACUGUCAAAACACGGAUGAGAACGAAGGAGGGCUCCUAGCAAGGGCAUAUAUGUUGUUAGACAUGCACAACCUAGGAAAUCUGAUUGAUGGAGCAAAGAAGGCCAAGCAUGGAGAAGGUCCCUCUGGGACCAAAUAGAUUAGGAAUGAUAUUUUUACUUGCUUUCUGGACUCAUUUUAGACUUCGGUUGUAAUAAGGAACCUUCCAUUAUCCGCACUUUAUAAUUAUUGUUGUUUUAGUAGAGGUUUGGUUCUUUUAUCAUAUUAAUAAAAUGACGUAGUUAUUUGAAUCGAUUUUCUCCAAAUCUACGUGUCGCUUAGGCCUACCUCGGGAAUAAUAAUGUUCCAAACUUAGAACGUGAAUUUAUAAUUCCAUAAUAUGUGUUUAAAUUAUGCAAACAUCCUUUUAAUACUACUUACUCACUUGUUUACUUUUUUUGAAAUUUGUUUAUUCACAUACCCCUAUGGUUGGUUCAUACAUACUUUCAUCAUCUGCAUACCACACCAGAUCUAGAGGUCUUCUACCUCCUUCUCCUCCAUCAUAUAAGAAAGGGAAAAACUAAAAUGGAUGAUACGAUUGGUAUCUGGAAAUACAACCCUACGAAUGUAGAGAAUGUUGAAAUUUUAGAUGACCAGAGUACGCUGGCGUAGAAUGAGUUGAUUUUACGAUUAGAACAAAAGAUAUUGGAGUGACAAAGGGAACUUGAGCAGGUUUGAAACUUGUCAAACUUUCCCUUACCUGAAUUUACCCGAUGUCAACCAACAAGAUGCCCAAAACCUAGCACCUCCAAAGAACACACAGAACCAACAAAAUCCUCCUACACCUCAUCAGUAUGCCACACCUCCUCAAAAUCCUAAUCUUUCCGCCAGUACCGACCCUUCCACAACAUCAUCACCACCCAAAUCAAUACCCACAAACCACCACCUACUGUACUUCUUACAAUGCACCACAAACUACCAUGAUCCCCAAAACUAAACCAGCAACCAUCGCUACGCCCAAAUUUUUGGAGUCCCUCAAAGAAACCCCAUAUACGUGGAAACCUUACCCCACACUCCAGAACAAACCCUAUACAUACCUGAACACACUGAGAAGGACAUGCUCAUAAAAAAUAUGGCUGAAAAACUCAAGAAAAGUAAUAGUCGAGUCUAGGGUGUUGAAGGCGGUAAUGGCAUCAAAUGUUUGAAUUAUGAAGAUUUGUGUAUUCAUCUAGAAGUAUAACUACCAGAGAAACCAUCUAUGUUUGAAAUGCUCGAUGGGCAGGUGAUCCAAAUUUACACUUGAGAACAUAUUGUGACAAGCUCAUUGGGGUUGGUAAAGAUGAAAGAAUUCGCAUGAAACUGUUCAUUAGGAGCCUUAUUGGAGACGCCCUAUCCGAGUACAUCAAUCAAAAUCCAAAGAAAUAGGUUAACUGGGUAAUCAUGGAAUCAGAUUUUAUGGAUCGGUUUAGGUUCAAUAAAGAAAUACGCCAGAUGACUUUUAUAUUAGGAAUCUUAAGAAGAAUCCAACAUAAGUAUUUCGAGAAUAUGCUACUCGACGGAGAUUAGAAGCUAUGAAAAUAAUGCUAUCACUGGAAGAAGAACAUAUGAAUAAGUUCUUUGUCGGAGCUCAAGAUCUACAAUACUAUGAAAGGUUGAUGGCUAUUGAAAACCCUAAUUUUUUCGAUAUCAUCAAAUUGGGAGAAAGAAUAGACCAGGGAAUUAAAAGUAGAAUAGUAACAAACUUUAAGGCACUAAAAGCUACAGACGAAGCCUAACAGUCGGGUGAUAUUUCUAAAAAGAAGGAAGUAGUGGCAGUAAUGGUAGGCUAAGGUCCAAAGUCUCACCGCACAUACCAAACACCACCUACACAUCAACCUUUACCUCCCAAAUACCAGCAACCCACUAUAACUUAUCAUACUUAUAACACCCAUCUGACAUACUAUGACUCCCCACCAGGCCGCCAAAACUACCAAAAACCCAUAGCAAAUUUCGACCAUAGACCACUAAAUCAAUACACUCUUAUUGCUGAACCUAACCAUCAGUUGUAUCAGAUAUUGAAGGUUUCCGGUUAUGUCACUCCCAUUCCCUCAGUUUCCAUGGAAAACUCUUCCAUGUAGUUUAAUCUACACAAGACAUGUGCCUAUCCUUUGGGCAUGAAGGGUCAUAUAUUGAUGAGUGUUGCACUUUGAAGGAUUAGAUCCAUACACUGAUUGACAUCAACGUUAUAAAGCAAAAUAUGUUGCACCCAAUGUCUGCAACAAUCCUCUCCUGGAUAACAGAGGUGAGGGGUUAAAUGUGAUAGAAAUCAAUGAAGAAUGGGAUUCGAAAUGGUCAAUUUGGACUCAUUCGUGAAUGGGAUGAACCUAAAAUACCUCUAGUCACUCUCUCACAAUUUAUAAUGCGGAUUCAGUCACCGAUUCAGGUUGAAAUAGCUACGCCAAAUCUGUUUGAGGUUAAAAAGAUAAAACACUCAGAUAUACCAACCCCGCUUGACGUGGAAGUAACCGCACCCUUCAUUGUGACAGUAGCACCUAACCCCUCUUAUCACUCUAAGGGAUUGUUUGGUUACGAUACGAUUACCAGUAUAAGUUAUACCAGUAUAAGUUAUAUUUAGAUAAGUUAUAAUGGGAUUAAUUAUGCUGGUAUUGUUAUUUAUUCAUUAAUUGAUAUGUUGUAUUAAGAAUGAAAAUUAUAUAAUUUGUAAAAGAAGGUUUAAGUUAUACCGGUGCUAAUUACCCCACUUUUUAUAAGGUAUAAGUUAUCCUAGCGUUAAACUUAACACCGGAAUGCCUUAUAAUUGGUUUGCUAACCAAACCUAGUAUUAAGGUGGUAUUAAAUUUUUAUACCACCCUUAUACCUUCCUAUAUCUCAUACCAAAUGACCCCUAAAGCUAUACCCUGGGACAAUGCUGUAGAGAUGAGAAGGAAAGGAAAGGGGAGAAUGGAAGUAAUCGAUGCAACAUAGGGCGUGACCAGAAUUAGUAGGGUAUACAUGCUCAAGCAUUUGGGAGGAACAAGUAAACAAGCCACUCCCAAGCAUUCGUUCAUUGAAACUACCUCGGAUGAUCUUUGGAGAAAGGUUGAAGCAAGAGAGUAUUUUGUGGUUGAUCAUCUGAACAAAACCCUUGCUCAGAUAUCCAUUCUAUCACUACUAGAAAAAUCAGAGGCACAUAGGAAUGCAUUGAUGAAAGUAAUGAAAGAAGCUUAUGUACCCAAUAACAUCAUUAGUGGAGAAAUGGCCAACAUGGUAUGACAAGUGUUAGAAUGCAACAAGAUCACUUUUUACGAAGACGAGUUGCCACCAGAAGGAUUGAGUAACAACAAGGAACUACACAUCACAAUGUAGUUUGAGGAUAAAUUCAUUGCCAGGGUCCUGAUACAUAGGGGUUCGAAUCUCAACAUUUGUGCAUUGACUACAUUGAAGAGUUUGGGUAAAGGUUUUCAUGAAAUACGAGCAGGAACUAUGAACGUGAAAGCAUUCGAUGGGUCGUAAAGUGGCACAAUUAGGGAGAUCAACCUAUGUUUGUAGAUGUGUCCGACUUGGUUCGACGUUGAAUUUCAAGCAUUGGACAUAUCCACCACAUACAAUCCACUAUUAGGACAACCUUAGAUACAUGUUGCUUCGGCCGUAGCCUCCACUCAACAUCAUGUUGUGAAGACUGAAUGGAAUCAUUAGUAAGUAAUCCUCUACGGAGACGGGAGUAAUCCCAUUUAUACAAUCAAAUUGUUUUGGUUGCCGAGAAUUGAAGGAAGUUGGGUGGACAAACAUACCACCGCAUCUAGUGCAUCAAUGCAAUUGAGAAAGACAAAUGGUGGAGUGAUAAUAUUGGAAGGUCAAUGGAUAGGGUAUGAACUCAACAAGGGUCUCCGUGAGAAUCUCCAAGGGAUCACCAAACCGAAAAAGUUGAAGCGUCACGACAUAACUUUUUGGCUUGGGUAUGAAUGCACCUGACAUGAGUAUUAGAAUUGGUCGCCACCAUGGUGUGGUCCUUAAUACCCAUUUGAACAACCAAUAUGGCAUCUACACCAGACAUUUCAAUAGAUCGACGUGGUAUGGGGAUUUGAAGAAGAUGAGGCCUUAGCUGGCCCGAGGAAUCUAUUUCUGGACGAUGAGUUCAUCGAUUGCAAUGCAAUAGUUUAGGAGGAGGAGGAGGAGGAAGAAGAUAUUACAAUUCAGACCAUGGGAAAAGGAGCUAUUCUAAAUAACUGGACUACUACACCGUUCAGGGCCCAUCAUAUUCCUGGGUAGCAUGACAAUUAGCAUUAUCUAUUUUUAAAAGAAUUUUUAAGUAUUUAAGUAAUUUUCAGUAUUUUGUUUUGAACGUACUCUAUUUUUAAAUAAUUGCUCGAGUCAUCAUAUCGUACUUGUUUUGAUAUUUUCAAUAUUUAUUUAAUGUGUUGCUACUUUGGUAUUUAUUAUUAUCCUUCGCAUUUUCUCUCUACAAUAUUAUUAUUACUUAUCCUCAUGAACAGACGACUCGUACAUGUAAUGAGAAGACACAACAUAAGGAUAGUGAUUCAGAGAAAAUUGAAGAAGAAGAUAUAAUACUUGAGGAAGUUCUUAGAGAGGUGGAAAAUUUUGAGAACAUGCCUAAGUCCAAUUAUGAUGAAACUAACAUAGUCAAUCCGGGAGAUUCUGAAAUAGUGAAAGAAGAUAUUCUCAUAAGUAUUUACCUGUCACCAUCAGAGAAAGAAGAUUACACCCAUUUCCUGAAAUAAUCUACAGAUAUCUUUGCAUGGUCCCAUGAUGAUAUGACUGGUUUGAGCACAUCUAUAGUGGCUCAUAAACUACCGACCAAUCCGAUGUGUCUGCCUGUAAAGUAAAAGCUCAGAAAUUUCAAGUCUGAUAUGAGUCUAAAAUCAAAGAGUAGUUUACUAAACAUAUCAAAGCUAAGGUUCUUAAAGUGGUCGAAUAUCCUACCUGGUUGGUUAACAUAGUUCUACUUCUGAAGAAGGAUGGAAAGAUGAGAGUGUGCGCUGACUAUCGGGAUUUAAAUAUAGCAUGUCCUGUAGAUUAUUUCCUAUUACCCAUCAUACAGAUACUAAUCGUCAACGGUGCCAACCAUGAACUCCAAUCCUUUGUGGAAUGCUUCGCGGGAUAUCAUCUAUGGAUGGAUAGAUGAAGAAGAUGCCAAGAAGAAAGCUUUUAUUACACCAUAGGGAGUGUAUUGCUAUAAAAUGAUGUUUUUUGGUUUGAAAAAUGUUGGGACCACUUAUAUGAGAGCCAUGAUAAUGAUUUCCCACAACACGAUACACAAAAAGAUAGAAGUAUGCAUGGAUGACGUUAUCAUCAAAUCCAAGAAGGGUACAAAUCACAUAGCGGAUUUGUGAAAGUUCUUUGAUAGGCUUCGAAGGUAUAGUCUGAAACUGAAACCUACAAAAUGUGCUUUUGGGGUCCCUGUUGAAAAGUUAUUAGGAUUCAUCGUCAGACGCCGAGAAAUGAAGCUAAACCUGUCAAAAGGUCAAGGCUAUCCAAGAUUUGCAACACCCAAAGAACAAGAAAGAUAUGAUGUGCUUCUUGAGGUGUCUCAAUUACAACACCCACUUCGUAGCACAAUCCACCAUGAUCUGUGAGCCAAUUUUCAAAAUGUUAAAGAAGGACGUUGCAACAAGUUGGACCGAAAACCGCCAGAAAGUAUUUGACAAAAUCAAGGAAUAUUUGUCCACACUACCAGUCCUAGUCCCGCUAGAACCUGAGAGGCCUUUGCAAUUGUAUUUAUCUAUACUAGAUAAGGCUUUCGGUUAUGUAUUUAGACAACACGAAAAGACAGGAAAGGAAAAGCAUUCCAUAUAUUAUUGGAGUAAGAAGUUCAAAAUAAAGAACCCCAUUUUGAAUAAUGUCAUUUUAAAUAAAAAAAAUUCUUUUUAUAUUACCCUUCGGGGGUGAUGUGUAAAAAGGAGGUGUGACGAUACCAAAAGGAGGAAAAAGAUUGUGCUUUAAACAAGUGAUGUUUACACUUUGAAUAGUGAUGUUUAUAACCUAAUGUACCUGAUCCUUGAUGAUAAGUGAUAAAAAAGAAAACUAUUUCUAACAUUGUGUUGAUGUUGAGCUGAGUUGAAAUAGGGUCUAAGCUUAUGAAAAGCAUAGAGUUUGUUAUCAUCAAAAAGGGAGAAUUUUUUGGCGCAAGUGAAGGUUAGUUUUGAAGACUGACAAAGGAACUCAGGAUGAACCAGGUCCAUCCCUUAGGUGUACAAAAACGGGCAGAUUCGAGCAUGUGGGUUGCACGUGACGGAGAUAAGCUUAACUUGGUGUAUUUAAUAUCUCCAUAUCAAAGAGGUUGCAUAAUUGAUAAGGAGUAGGAGUCUUUAAUCAAAGAAAACACUAUUCAAGAUAGGAAAGAAGUUAGAAGUUAAAAUCAACUAGAACUCUUCCACCAAGGAAGAGUUGCAUCAGGACUCUAGUUAUUUCUUCAUCUACUAACUCUAUAAAUGGCAGGAUGUUCUCACAUUAAAGUGUUGCACAAAACACAGAAGUUAAACCUGAAUCGAGAUCAAAAUAUCAAGGCUUUUUGCAAGCAGUUCGUGUGUGAUUCAAGUGUGCAAACCUAAAGCUACAUGAACCAGAUUGAAAAACCAGCCCCAUAAGGAGUUUUAUAUGUCUUUCUUUAUUUCUAGUUCAAUUGUAGUAGGAUUUUUCAUAUUGUAUCUUUCAGCUUUAUCUAGAAGCAUUGCAAGAUGUUCUCACAUUAAAAGUGUUGCACAAAAACGCAGAAGUUAAACGUGAAUGGAGAGCAAAAUAGCAAGGUUUUUUGCUAGUAGUUCUUGUGUGAUUCAUGUAUGCAAACCUUAAGCUACAUUACCCGGAUUGAAGAACCAGCUCCACAAAAGAAUUUUAUGUGUCUUUCUUUAUUUCUAGUUCAAUUGUAAUAGGUGUUUUUAUAUUGUACCGUUCAACUUUCAUAGAAGCAAUUGUAUUAGGUACAUAGAGUGUUCAAGUUAGAAUUAACUUGAAGUUUUCACAACAGUUAGAGGCUGGUUGCUGCAACAGCAUUAUAAGUAAUCCUUAGGUUUACAAAGAGUUUUGUAAAUGUUGUCUUGGCUCGGUGAUUUAGUGAAGUGUUGGGAAAAUUCCUAUUGAGUAGUAGGUCGUGGAUUUUUUCACUUUUUGAGCCAGGUGCUUUUCACGUAAAAUCUAUAUGUUUUUUAUUUUCUGUAUUUAUUAUUCCGCAACAGUAGCAGUUAGAACACAUAGAAAAAUCAGGUCCAUCAUAAUCAAUUUAAGCGAAAAAUUUGGUACUACACAAAUCAUCCUCCCUCCCCCUUCUUGUGUGGUAUUGACAUUUAAAACAUCAGAAUGGAACAGAAGAAAAAGUAUUCUAUUAAAAUGACAACUAUCAUUACAAGUAAUGGAAAGCUAUAUAUAUACAACUAACAUCUAACUAACUAUACUAACAACCAAUUCGCUAAUUAUAGUUCUAACUAACUUAACUAUAUAAUAGUUAGGUGAUAGAUGUACUACUGUUAUAUGUACUACUAUUAUUAUCCUUUACAGAUGUCUCAUGCCUUUAUUUGGUCAGUCGCAGGCCUUUUUUAUGCUUUUAUCCUAGAAAUAGUUCUUUCAUCACGCAAAUUCUUCAUUCCCAAAUGCACCCGUAUAUAUCUUUGUAUAAGUUUACACGUAUAUACGUGUAAAUUUCUUGGUUUGCUUGACACUCCUUCGUAGUUUGGCUUGUGCCAAUGGAGUUCACCCACUUAAUACAUGUAUCGAUAUUUUAAUUUUUUAUUUAUUUUUAAAAAAAGCUACUUCAUUAAUAAUAUAGUUUCUCAUGGCAGGAAGCUUGGACCACCCCCCUUGGAAUUAUCUCUUCACUAAAAUGAUUUCAAAUAAGAUAAAAUGAAAGUUAAACACUGUAAGCUUGAUAAGAGACAGAAACUAGUACCCAAAUCAACGAGCAAACGAGGACCAAAAAUAGAAACUCGACCAAAUUGCUAGAAAUUCGAAGCCGACACAAGAAACUCAGCAAACUUUAAUGGCUUUACACGGCUGAAACAGAGCUUGAACUUUUGGAUUGGUUACUGGCUAGAUUUCAGACGAAUUUUAAGUAGAUUGAUGGUUGAUGUGCAACUGAUUGUGUUCGUGUGAGCUUGGUGAAAGAUGGAAUUGUGUGAGGUCGAAAAUUCAGGGGUCUUUUGUUGGAGUUC
RNAcentral lists this long non-coding RNA (12418 nucleotides) under Nicotiana benthamiana. Its description in RNAcentral is "long non-coding RNA (NBEN_LNC010553)". Lineage: Eukaryota; Viridiplantae; Streptophyta; Magnoliopsida; Solanales; Solanaceae. The record is from RNAcentral.